Trematomus bernacchii (emerald rockcod) is the source of this 192-nucleotide long non-coding RNA. RefSeq lists it as uncharacterized. The transcript is spliced from 3 exons. Lineage: Eukaryota; Metazoa; Chordata; Actinopteri; Perciformes; Nototheniidae. The record is from RefSeq and is a predicted model, not a curated record.
UGUGUGUGUGAGACGUUGUGUUUGAUUGACAGGUGUAUACUGUAGUGUGUGUGGGACGUUGUAAUUGAUUGACAGGUGUAUACUGUAGUGUGUGACGUUGUGUUUGAUUGACAGGUGUAUACUGUAGUGUGUGACGUUGUGUUUGAUUGACAGGUGUAUACUGUAGUGUGUGACGUUGUGUUUGAUUGACAG